RNAcentral lists this long non-coding RNA (492 nucleotides) under Gallus gallus (chicken). The record is from RNAcentral. Lineage: Eukaryota; Metazoa; Chordata; Aves; Galliformes; Phasianidae.
UUUUUUGCUCCUCCUGCUGUCAUUCCUAGCUGAAUGACAUUUGGAUGGUAUGUUCUAGUGACGGCUGGAGACCAGCCCUUUAACUUUGGACAUCUUCUUUGUGGGCUGCCUUUGUUCUGUGUGUGGAGGGCACUCUCGCUCUACCAGUUGCUGCUCCAUCUCCUGUGCCGACGACGAGGCUGUAGCUUUUAACGUUUUCUUUAUGUUUGUGACCUCCAUCUCUACCUGCUGCUGGGUUCGGUGAUGGUUCUCUUUGUAUUGGUUGGCUCUCAGUACUUGCUGCUCAAUCCCUAAAAGAACCGCUUCACAACCGUCACACCAUUCCUGGAGUGUUUUGACAAUGUUACUGAUGUCCUUCUUCUGAAUAUCUCUGCCAAUACAAAAAUCCACCUCUAGCAUCUGGUUUCGUUGAUCCAACUUCCCCUGGAUAAUAUCUGUAUAAACCGCUUCUAUAAUCAGAUCUUCCAGCUCCCUCAGAUUCCUCAUAUCCAG